RNAcentral lists this non-coding RNA (181 nucleotides) under Tepidibacillus fermentans. RNAcentral's name for it is "6S / SsrS RNA". It matches the Rfam family "6S / SsrS RNA". From Rfam's summary of the family: E. coli 6S RNA was the first non coding RNA to be sequenced, but its function was unknown until recently. Lineage: Bacteria; Bacillati; Bacillota; Bacilli; Caryophanales; Bacillaceae. The record is from Rfam by way of RNAcentral.
AGAGCCCUAAGAUGUACGUGAUUUCACGAUAGUUUUGAGCCAACACCCUUUUAAUCGGGAGUUCGGGUUCAUUUGUGGAAUUGAGAGCAUGAUUUAUCAUGAAACAAGGAAGCAAAUGACAGAGCACCCACCUGCGAGAGCAGGUUCAAAACCUAGGAGACACGGCAUACCCGGGGCUCUU